RNAcentral lists this ribosomal RNA (253 nucleotides) under uncultured bacterium. Its description in RNAcentral is "partial 16S ribosomal RNA". It matches the Rfam family "Bacterial small subunit ribosomal RNA", at positions 524 to 776 of the family's 1533-position model. The record is from RNAcentral.
UACGUAGGGUGCGAGCGUUGUCCGGAAUUAUUGGGCGUAAAGGGCUCGUAGGCGGUUUGUCGCGUCGGGAGUGAAAACACCGGGCUUAACUCGGUGCUUGCUUUCGAUACGGGCAGGCUAGAGGUAUGCAGGGGAGAACGGAAUUCCUGGUGUAGCGGUGAAAUGCGCAGAUAUCAGGAGGAACACCGGUGGCGAAGGCGGUUCUCUGGGCAUUACCUGACGCUGAGGAGCGAAAGUGUGGGGAGCGAACAGG